AUUUAUCUUAUUAAUAAUCCCACCCUAAAUAUGGCUAUCUUUCUUUUGCCUUUAUUAAUUAGGACUUGUCUUUUAUAUGUCUAUUUUAAUAAAAGAUUAAAUAAGGCAAAAGGCCCCUAAAUUUAGGGCGAGUAGUCAUAUUAGGGCUAAUUAAUAGGAAGAACCCAUUUUUUUUUAAUGCAUUAAAUACACCUAAUAAUU
This 201-nucleotide unclassified non-coding RNA is filed under the name Hevea brasiliensis (rubber tree). The record is from RNAcentral. Lineage: Eukaryota; Viridiplantae; Streptophyta; Magnoliopsida; Malpighiales; Euphorbiaceae.